CCGAACUGAAUGAUUUCGGGCUUUAUUUGCGCAGAAUAGGUGGGAGGCUAUGAAACAAAUCUUGCGGGAUUUGUUGAGCCAUCGGUGAGAUACCACUCUAACAAAGCUAGAACUCUAAUCUUUCACUGUAAGCCAGUGAAGAAACAAUCUCAGGCGGGCAGUUUGACUGGGGCGGUCGCCUCCUAAAAGGUAACGGAGGCGCACAAAGGUUUCCUCAGAUCGGUCAGACAUCGAUCUUUGAGUGUAAAGGCAUAAGGAAGCUUGACUGUGAGACCUACAAGUCGAACAGAGACGAAAGUCGGUCUUAGUGAUCUGGCGAUAUUGAGUGGAAAAGUCGUCACUCCACGGAUAAAAGUUACUCUAGGGAUACCAGGCUGAA
RNAcentral lists this ribosomal RNA (379 nucleotides) under uncultured organism. Its description in RNAcentral is "bacterial LSU rRNA". It matches the Rfam family "Bacterial large subunit ribosomal RNA", at positions 2104 to 2486 of the family's 2925-position model. The record is from RNAcentral.